This is a non-coding RNA of Acanthosepion pharaonis, 93 nucleotides long. The record is from the annotation of a GenBank genome assembly. Lineage: Eukaryota; Metazoa; Mollusca; Cephalopoda; Sepiida; Sepiidae.
CGUUGAAAUACAGGUUUUCGUAUGAUCACCGAAGUUAAGCAACGUCGAGCCUUGUCAGUACCUAGAUGGGUGACCACUUGGUAAUACCUCCUU